UACGUAGGGUGCAAGCGUUGUCCGGAAUUAUUGGGCGUAAAGAGCUCGUAGGCGGUCAGUCGCGUCUGCUGUGAAAACUCGGGGCUUAACUCCGGGCCUUCAGUCGAUACGAGCAAACUAGAGUGUUGCAGGGGAGACUGGAAUUCCUGGUGUAGCGGUGAAAUGCGCAGAUAUCGGGAAGAACACCUGUGGCGAAGGCGGCUCUCUGGGACGGUACUGACGCUGAGACGCGAAAGCGUGGGGAGCGAACAGG
RNAcentral lists this ribosomal RNA (253 nucleotides) under uncultured bacterium. Its description in RNAcentral is "partial 16S ribosomal RNA". It matches the Rfam family "Bacterial small subunit ribosomal RNA", at positions 524 to 776 of the family's 1533-position model. The record is from RNAcentral.